GGGUAGAGCACUGUUUCGGCUAGGGGGCCAUCCCGGCUUACCAACCCGAUGCAAACUGCGAAUACCGGAGAAUGUUAUCACGGGAGACACACGGCGGGUGCUAACGUCCGUCGUGAAGAGGGAAACAACCCAGACCGCCAGCUAAGGUCCCAAAGUCAUGGUUAAGUGGGAAACGAUGUGGGAAGGCCCAGACAGCCAGGAUGUUGGCUUAGAAGCAGCCAUCAUUUAAAGAAAGCGUAAUAGCUCACUGGUCGAGUCGGCCUGCGCGGAAGAUGUAACGGGGCUAAACCAUGCACCGAAGCUGCGGCAGCGACACUGUGUGUUGUUGGGUA
Molecule: ribosomal RNA, 332 nt
Filed under: Salmonella enterica subsp. enterica serovar Enteritidis
Lineage: Bacteria; Pseudomonadati; Pseudomonadota; Gammaproteobacteria; Enterobacterales; Enterobacteriaceae
Description: partial 23S ribosomal RNA
Rfam family: Bacterial large subunit ribosomal RNA
Source: RNAcentral